RNAcentral lists this ribosomal RNA (300 nucleotides) under uncultured Prevotella sp. Its description in RNAcentral is "bacterial SSU rRNA". It matches the Rfam family "Bacterial small subunit ribosomal RNA", at positions 495 to 795 of the family's 1533-position model. Lineage: Bacteria; Pseudomonadati; Bacteroidota; Bacteroidia; Bacteroidales; Prevotellaceae. The record is from RNAcentral.
GGGUAAGGCGUGCAGGGUGACGCGUGAAUACGUAGGUGGCAGUGGUUGUUGGGAAGUAUGGGGCUGAAAGGGCGGGUAGGCGGGUUGGUAAUGCGGUGGGGAAAGCCCGGGGCUCAACCCCGGAGAGUCGACCGAUACUGGCAGAAUAGAGUACAGAAGAGGUAGCUGGAAUUCCUGGUGUAGCGGUGAAAUGCGUAGAUAUCAGGAGGAACACCUGAGGCGAAGGCGGGCUACUGGGCUGAUACUGACGCUGAUGCGCGAAAGCCAGGGGAGCAAACGGGAUUAGAUACCCCGGUAGUC